CAGCAGCCACGGUAAUACGUAGGUGGCAAGCGUUGUCCGGAAUUAUUGGGCGUAAAGGGCUCGCAGGCGGUUUCUUAAGUCUGAUGUGAAAGCCCCCGGCUCAACCGGGGAGGGUCAUUGGAAACUGGGAAACUUGAGUGCAGAAGAGGAGAGUGGAAUUCCACGUGUAGCGGUGAAAUGCGUAGAGAUGUGGAGGAACACCAGUGGCGAAGGCGACUCUCUGGUCUGUAACUGACGCUGAGGGGCGAAAGCGUGGGGAGCGAACAGGAUUAGAUACCCCGGUAGUCCCUGUCUCUUAUAC
This 301-nucleotide ribosomal RNA is filed under the name uncultured bacterium. Its description in RNAcentral is "partial 16S ribosomal RNA". It matches the Rfam family "Bacterial small subunit ribosomal RNA", at positions 509 to 807 of the family's 1533-position model. The record is from RNAcentral.